RNAcentral lists this ribosomal RNA (1415 nucleotides) under uncultured bacterium. RNAcentral describes it as "16S ribosomal RNA". It matches the Rfam family "Bacterial small subunit ribosomal RNA". RNAcentral also lists the same sequence under 1 other name. The record is from RNAcentral.
AGGAUGAACGCUGGCGGCGUGCUUAACACCUGUAAGUCGAACGAACCUUCGGGUUAGUGGCGGACGGGUGAGUAACGCGUGGGAAUCUGCCCUCAGGAGGGGGAUAACGGCUGGAAACGGCCGCUAAUACCCCAUAUGCCGAGAGGUGAAACGAAUUUCGCCUGAGGAUGAGCCCGCGUCUGAUUAGCUAGUUGGUGAGGUAAGAGCUCACCAAGGCAUCGAUCAGUAGCUGGUCUGAGAGGAUGAUCAGCCACACUGGGACUGAGACACGGCCCAGACUCCUACGGGAGGCAGCAGUGGGGAAUUUUCCGCAAUGGGCGAAAGCCUGACGGAGCAACGCCGCGUGAGGGAUGAAGGCCUCUGGGCUGUAAACCUCUUUUCUCAAGGAAGAAGAUCUGACGGUACUUGAGGAAUAAGCCACGGCUAAUUCCGUGCCAGCAGCCGCGGUAAUACGGGAGUGGCAAGCGUUAUCCGGAAUUAUUGGGCGUAAAGCGUCCGCAGGCGGCCUUUCAAGUCUGCUGUUAAAACGUGGAGCUUAACUCCAUCAUGGCAGUGGAAAAUGUUGGGCUUGAGUGUGGUAGGGGCAGAGGGAAUUCCCGGGUAGCCGGUGAAAUGCGUAGAUAUCGGAAAGAACCCCAGUGGCGAAGGCGCUCUGUUGGGCCAUAACUGACGCUCAUGGACGAAAGCCAGGGGAGCGAAAGGGAUUAGAUACCCCUGUAGUCCUGGCCGUAAACGAUGAACACUAGGUGUCGGGGGAAUCGACCCCCUCGGUGUCGUAGCCAACGCGUUAAGUGUUCCGCCUGGGGAGUACGCACGCAAGUGUUGAAACUCAAAGGAAUUGACGGGGGCCCGCACAAGCGGUGGAGUAUGUGGUUUAAUUCGAUGCAACGCGAAGAACCUUACCAGGGUUUGACAUCCUGCGAAUCUCUUGGAAACGAGAGAGUGCCUUCGGGAACGCAGUGACAGGUGGUGCAUGGCUGUCGUCAGCUCGUGUCGUGAGAUGUUGGGUUAAGUCCCGCAACGAGCGCAACCCACGUCUUUAGUUGCCAGCAUUUAGUUGGGCACUCUAGAGAGACCGCCGGUGAUAAACCGGAGGAAGGUGUGGAUGACGUCAAGUCAUCAUGCCCCUUACAUCCUGGGCUACACACGUACUACAAUGCUACGGACAAAGAGCAGCAAGUUCGCGAGGACAAGCAAAUCUCAUAAACCGUGGCUCAGUUCAGAUCGUAGGCUGCAACUCGCCUACGUGAAGGAGGAAUCGCUAGUAAUCGCAGGUCAGCAUACUGCGGUGAAUACGUUCCCGGGCCUUGUACACACCGCCCGUCACACCAUGGAAGUAGGCCACGCCCGAAGCCGUUNCUCCACNCCUUGUGGAGGCCUUCAUGGAAGGGUGGGGCUGAUGACUGGGGUGAAGU